This 363-nucleotide ribosomal RNA is filed under the name Bacillus zhangzhouensis. RNAcentral describes it as "bacterial SSU rRNA". It matches the Rfam family "Bacterial small subunit ribosomal RNA", at positions 46 to 400 of the family's 1533-position model. The record is from RNAcentral. Lineage: Bacteria; Bacillati; Bacillota; Bacilli; Caryophanales; Bacillaceae.
GCCGUCGCCUGCAAGUCGAGCGGACAGAAGGGAGCUUGCUCCCGGAUGUUAGCGGCGGACGGGUGAGUAACACGUGGGUAACCUGCCUGUAAGACUGGGAUAACUCCGGGAAACCGGAGCUAAUACCGGAUAGUUCCUUGAACCGCAUGGUUCAAGGAUGAAAGACGGUUUCGGCUGUCACUUACAGAUGGACCCGCGGCGCAUUAGCUAGUUGGUGGGGUAAUGGCUCACCAAGGCGACGAUGCGUAGCCGACCUGAGAGGGUGAUCGGCCACACUGGGACUGAGACACGGCCCAGACUCCUACGGGAGGCAGCAGUAGGGAAUCUUCCGCAAUGGACGAAAGUCUGACGGAGCAACGCCGC